AUUGAACGCUGGCGGCAUGCUUUACACAUGCAAGUCGAACGGUAACAGGCCUUCGGGUGCUGACGAGUGGCGAACGGGUGAGUAAUGCAUCGGAACGUGCCCAGCGGUGGGGGAUAACGCAGCGAAAGCUGUGCUAAUACCGCAUGUGAUCUGAGGAUGAAAGCGGGGGACCAGGCAGCAAUGUUUGGCCUCGCGCCUUUGGAGCGGCCGAUGUCAGAUUAGGUAGUUGGUGGGGUAAAGGCCUACCAAGCCGACGAUCUGUAGCUGGUCUGAGAGGACGACCAGCCACACUGGGACUGAGACACGGCCCAGACUCCUACGGGAGGCAGCAGUGGGGAAUUUUGGACAAUGGGCGCAAGCCUGAUCCAGCAAUGCCGCGUGCGGGAAGAAGGCCUUCGGGUUGUAAACCGCUUUUGUACGGAACGAAAAGGCUCUGGCUAAUACCUGGGGCUGAUGACGGUACCGGAAGAAUAAGCACCGGCUAACUACGUG
RNAcentral lists this ribosomal RNA (492 nucleotides) under uncultured bacterium. RNAcentral's name for it is "partial 16S ribosomal RNA". It matches the Rfam family "Bacterial small subunit ribosomal RNA", at positions 30 to 507 of the family's 1533-position model. The record is from RNAcentral.